UACGUAGGGGGCAAGCGUUGUCCGGAAUUAUUGGGCGUAAAGAGCGCGUAGGCGGUCCGGUAAGUCGGCUGUGAAAGUCAAGGGCUCAACCCUUGAAAGCCGGCCGAUACUGUCGGACUAGAGUCCGGAAGAGGCGAGUGGAAUUCCCGGUGUAGCGGUGAAAUGCGCAGAUAUCGGGAGGAACACCAAUGGCGAAGGCAGGUCUCUGGGCAUUAACUGACGCUGAGGAGCGAAAGCAUGGGGAGCGAACAGG
RNAcentral lists this ribosomal RNA (253 nucleotides) under uncultured bacterium. Its description in RNAcentral is "partial 16S ribosomal RNA". It matches the Rfam family "Bacterial small subunit ribosomal RNA", at positions 524 to 776 of the family's 1533-position model. The record is from RNAcentral.